This 250-nucleotide ribosomal RNA is filed under the name uncultured bacterium. Its description in RNAcentral is "partial 16S ribosomal RNA". It matches the Rfam family "Bacterial small subunit ribosomal RNA", at positions 524 to 773 of the family's 1533-position model. The record is from RNAcentral.
UACAUGGGGUGCAAACGUUGCUCGGAAUUAUUGGGCGUAAAGCGCGCGUAGGCGGUUACUCAAGUCGGAUGUGAAAGCCCUCGGCUUAACUGAGGAAGUGCACCCGAAACUGAGUAGCUAGAGUACUAAAGAGGGUCGCGGAAUUCCCGGUGUAGAGGUGAAAUUCGUAGAUAUCGGGAGGAACACCGGUGGCGAAGGCGGCGACCUGGGUAGAUACUGACGCUGAGGCGCGAAAGCGUGGGGAGCAAAC